GUUCCCCAGCCAAUACCGAGCCGUGAGCAUAAAAUACCAGGAAAUGUUCUUUAAACAGCUCAGCACAGUCACUGCUCCCAGAACCACAGCCGCUGUUUUCUCACUGCAAUAUUUACUUUUCAGCUUCUGGCAACAAAUGGCCACAAACCGAUCAAAGGUGAAAGUGACGGUGAACCAGACAGAGCAGUCAGUGGCUGCAUAAAGCAGGACGGCGUGGAUAUUACACACGGGGACGGAGUACACCAGGAAAUAAAACUGUUCCCAAUAAACAAUGGGAAUGUGUCUCAGGAUCAGGUCGAGGAUAAUGACCAGGAGAUCCGCCGCUGCCAUGGCCCCCAGAAUUGGCUGGCCAACAGAAGACAGCGAGUGGUAUUGGAAGGAAAAUAUUCUGCCUGGAAGUCAGUGGGACAUAUAAACAUAUUUUCAAAUCGACCGAGACCAUUUUCUGCUCAGGGUAUGGCUCUGUGUAUGACAGCAGCAAUGAUGCACCGACAUGGAACAGGGAAUGUGAUGGAGACAUAGUUUGGACAAUGUACAAGGAGACCUCACAUGGUCCAGUUUGGGAGAGACUGACAUUAUUGUGCGAUUCAACUCAGAGAGGGAGGAAAUGUCAUCUGCCCGAGAAGAAACGGCCCAUUGCACUCUCUCUCCUUCAUUAUUCCUCAUCACAGUAACGUGUACGAGCUAAAACAAAACUCUGCUGUCAUUGUUACCAUUCUUAUUUUUAUAGUAUCCCUGCAGUGUGGAAACAAGCCCUUCGACACAACAAGUCCAUACUAACCCUUCCAAAGAGUAACCUUCCCAUGCCCUUACAGUUACCACUGACUCGUGCACCUAAAGUAGAAAUGGCUGAACACUAUGGACUAUUUGACCAAUCCACUUGAAUUAUACAGCUUUGGGCUGUGGGAGGAAACGGAAGCACCCAUCAGAAGCUCACACAGACAAGGAGAGAAGUUCCAAACUCCACGCAGAUAGUCGCCCGAGACUGGAAUUGAACUCAUGUCCCUGAUGCUGUGAUGGAACAGUGCGAACUACUGAGCCACUGUGCUCACCUGGAACCUCCUGCCAGCCUAAUGCAAAGGGAAUUCAGCCAAAUCCAACUCUCCCAGGAUAAAAUCCCCUUGCUAGCAGCUGUGUGAGUAGAAUAUCUUCAGAAGCAGAAUCACAUUUUGGACAAUCUCGCAAUUUUUCCUUUUGUCAUUAGUUACACUAAUAUUUGGACAAGGUUCUGUCAACGUGAAAUUGCAGAGAUUGUGUUUAUUGUGUGUGUGUGUGUGUGUGUGUGUGUGUGCUUUAGAAUGGGAAAUAUCGAAUCUUUAUUUGCAAUAUCCAAACACUUUGCCAUUCAUCUUUCCAUCAUAGUUGGAGUAACAUUGCUCUGGAUCAUAAACGUGCUAUUUGAGCAGAUGUGUUGUUUUAGCAGAUUAAAGAAACUAGGCUGACUUGUUCCUAAAACUGAUCCUGACCCAGUCUGAGAUCAGUAUCACCGACAUAUCACCGACCUGGUUACAUUUAACAUUUGUUGAGAGCAGUCCAGGAGUGAGACUAGAAAAGGGACCAGUGAGCCUGAUGUCGGUGGUGGGUGAGUUGUUGGAGGGAAUUCUGAGGGAUAGCAUUUACGUACAUUUAGGAAGGCAAGGACUGAUGGCUUUCUGCAUGGGAAAUCAUGUCUCAUUAAUUUAGUUGAGUUUUAUGAAGAGGUGGCAAAGAAGAUUGAUGAAGGCAGUUUGUAGACAUUGUCUAUAUGGACCUCAGAAAGGUAUACAUACCAUUCUGAUUGGUCGACAGAUUAGUAAGUUUCUGUCACAUAUGAUACAGGUGAACCUAGUCACAAUUGGCUUGAAGGAAGAGGGGUAUUUUUCAGACUGGAGGCUUGUGAGCAGCAGUGUGCUGUAAGAAUCAGGACUGAGUUCACAAAACAUUUCAUCAUUUAUGUAAAGGAUUUAGAUGUGAACAUUGGGGCCAUAGUUAGUAAGUUUUUCAGACGACAUCAGAAAGGUGGUGCAGUAGAUUAAUUCAGAGUAGAACAAUACAACAAAUAGAUGGGACAAAGGGUCAAGGAGUGACAGAUGAAGUUUAAUUUAGAUAAAUACGAGGUUACGCAUUUUGGGAAGGCAAAUCAGGGCUGAAAUUAUACACUUAAUGGUAAGGGCCUGGUGAGUGUUGAGAAACAAAUGGACAUAGGGCUGCAGGUACACUGUUCCUUGAAAGUGGAGUCGAAUGCAGACAGUGCGGUACAGAACACAUUUUACACAUUUGCUUUAAUCAGUCAGAGCAUUGAGUACUGGAGUUGUGGUGGCAUGUUGCAUCUGUACAGGAUGUUGGUGAGGCCACUUUAAGAAUACUGCGUACAACUCGAUUGUCUGCAGAAAAGAUUUAUGCAGAUGUCCCAGGACUGGAGGUUUGAGCUUCAAGGAGAAGUUGAUUAGUUUGAGGUGUUUCCCCCUGCAGUGUUAUUCUGAACAGCCAUGUUCUGCUCCCCAGGGUAGGGGAGCCCAGAACAAGAGAACAUAGGUUAAAGGGGAGAGGACGAAUGAUUUAGAAGGGACCUGAAGUUAAAUGUUUCGCACAGAGAGUGGUGUGUAUACAUAAAAUGCUGUCAGAGGAAUUGCUGAACGCAGUUGCAAUCACACAUUUAAAAAAUAUCUGAAAGAGGAGUGAUAUUGGCCAAAUGCUAGCAGAUGGGACUGGAUCAGAUAUGAUAUCUGAUCGGAGUGAACAGAUUGAACUAAAGGGUCUGUUUACGUUCUGCAUGACUCUCUGAUUGUAUAAGAGGAAUGACGAAUAAUUCUUAAAGUACCUUUCAAAUCAGAAUCCUCUUCACUGGAAGUUUAUUGUGCCUCGAUGUUCACAUUGAUUGAAAGUAGCGUUAGUGAAAUAUUCGACGGAGAACUGAGUCAUGGAUAAUUGGGACGCAGACAGGAAGUUGGAGCUGAGACCACACCCUGAUCAGCCACAAUCUUAGUGCCUGGUGGAGAAGGUUCAACGUAUCUAAUGACUCACUCCUGUCCCUCAAUCCCAUGUUCCUGUGUUCCAUUCAGCCCAUUAAACUUGUUAGGCAGGAGCAUUUAGAGGCUACUUACUUCUAUAGAAACAGAGGAGAUCAUUCGGCCCUUCAAGACUGUCCCACAUGCUUUGAGGUGAUUUGGGAAAUGUAAUUGUAAAACCCAGGCUGGGUAUGAAAGAGGCCCCUCAUCUCUCUUCACACGGCUUCCCCUCUCUGAAACUUGUGCUCCAUUUGUUGGUCAUGUUGUAGACCCAAAUUCACUGAGAAUACCGCCCCCAUACCUCACCUAGGGAUGGCUCACAAAAUCCUCCGGUCUCCCUGCCUGCUACAUUCAAGAACAGAACAUUCAUGAAAAUAUCAGCCACUAACUUUCCAAUAACAGAAUGUGAGAACAUCUGAAACAGGGGCAGGUCGUUCACUCCCCAAACCUGCCUUGCCUUUCACUAAGAUCGUGACUGAUCUGCUCUUGGUCUCAAAUCCUCUUUUAUACCCAAUUCCUCACAGCCCUCACCUCUCUGACAGGUCAAUAUCCAUCUACCUCCUCUUCAAAUACUUUCAGUCAUCGAGCUCCCCGAACACUGUUGAGAAGAGAAAUUCUGACAUUCACUGCCACCUGUUUGAAGAAAACCCUUGCUGCGCCUAUACCAUGGCCUAUUGAUAUGAACAAAAGAGGUUGACACAAGGGGUCAGAUAAAAAUGACUGGCCCAGAUAUCAAGGCUUCUGUUGACAUCAAGGAGCUUAACAAAACUGGACAUAAUGCGAGUCAGAGAAAACUCUCUAGUGUUUGGGGUCAAACAUGGCACAAAGGAAGGUGCGCAUCAUCUCAGUCCUGGGUCACCUCUGUGGGAGAUCCUCAGGGUAGCUUCCUCUUCACAAACAUCUUCAGCUGCUUCAUCAAAGUCUCCCCACCCCGGCCCUCCCCACCAUAAGAUCUGAAGUGGCGAUGGUCACUGAGGAUUCCACAAUGUUCAGAAUAAUUUGACGCCCCCGUCAGCUUCUGAACUGGACUGUGUCCAUGUGCAGCAAGACAUGGACUCCAUUGAGGCUUGUGCUUUUAAAGAGUCCGUAACAUUCAUAUAAAGGACUGUCUGACACUGCACAUUGCCACAGCAAAAUAAGAGAUCAUUCCGCACCUCACACUGGUUUCACAGGAAUAUGAGGAAGUCGUUCAGCCCAUUGACACUAUUGGAGAAGAACAGGGACAGCCCAUUCAGUGCCUCCAGCAUAUUACUCAGGAGGAGAAGGAUUCUAGGGUGAUGGGCCACACCAGAACCCCUCGACAAUAUUUGAAGGCGGUAGUCUAGACUCUAAUGUUUUCUUAUUUUAAAGAAAAUGUAAAGUGUCUGUUCCAGGUGCAAUGUGACUGGUCAAACAACUCCGUAUGAAGCAUAACACCAUUUACUUAAACACAAUAGAUUUAAAAAAACCAAAAAGAGCAAUUUAGAAUAACGUAAUUAUAUUGGACAAGUCAACAGAAUAAUAGAUCUAGAAACUGUUACUAAUGAACUGUUCCAAUACUGGAAAAUCACAUGAACACAGCCCUUGGAAAAAAAGGAAUAUUCAGACAUUGAAUGACACAAACAUUUCUACAAUUUACGAUUUAAAAACAGCACCAAGAGAAAAUUCAUAGAGAAUAGCUGCCAGGAGACAUUCACUAAAGCUUUCAACUCAGUGGAGACCCCAAUAAUUUCUGAUGUUACUGAGGAACCAAAACGCAGAAAUCCUAAUCUGUGAGAGCUGACCAUACCCAUUCCAUCUGCAUUAAAAUAAACCUAAGGCCUCACUAGUUGUUUACUCAAGUGGUCCUAACUAGCCAGCUUGGUAACGGUCAUUCAAUCUCUCUCUUAAAAGAAACCAGAACAAAAUAACCUCUUAAAGGUGCAGCAUCAUCACACUAGUCAGCACAUCGAGCUGUCAUACAGGAACCAGGGAUAACCAGUGAAGCCCUUGGCCCUGUCCAAUCGGACAGGGAGGAAGCCAGUCAGUCCCUUGAGUCACUUAUACAGGAACAGUAGGAGGCCAUUCCCAUCUCAAUGCACUUACACAGGGGCAGAAUGAGGUAAUUGAUGCUGAUUCCUGACGAACGGCUUAUGCUCGAAACAUCGAUUCUCCUGCUGUGCUUUUCCAGCAAACCACUGUCUACUCCGAUCUUCAGCAUCGGCAGUCCUCAUUGUCUCCUAACUGAUGCUCUAACAUGAUGAACAAGUGGAGCAGAGGCUGCACAGACAGACUGCUCCACGUUGUUUCUCGUAGCUCCGUCUGUCAUGAUAUACACGUGGGACUUUAACGCUGUUUUCUAGUGGUGAGCAGGGAAGCCAUAUGUCUUGUGUGAAGUCACAAGAAGGCACCUUUCAUCUCCGAGAAGCCAGCCUGGUGUUCUCUAUGUAGGGUGGAAGCUGGUGGGAAUGGCUACCUGUUUCAGAUGGAAGGUAUUGUGGCUGCUGUUGGGGAUUGUGAGUAACAUGACGUUCAGUACGGGUUCACACGUCGACUGUACAAUAACGUGGGGAGAGUUAAUUUAGGCAUUAAACUAUUAGGAAAGUCACGCUAGACUGAUGAAUGGACUCUCUAAGUUCAAAUGAUGCUGAUCUUGUUCAUGUUGAUCUUGUCUAGUGCACGUCCUGUUCAGUGUAACCUGUAUGCCUUACUCUGUCCAAGUCUAUUUCUAACCUACGAUCUGUCUGGCCAUGUUUACUAUGAUCUGUUUCCACUGCUCAUAAAUAAAGUGUUUCCCUGUAUUGAGGUACACGUGACAAUAAAUCAAACCAAUAACU
Molecule: long non-coding RNA, 5782 nt
Organism: Hemiscyllium ocellatum (epaulette shark)
Lineage: Eukaryota; Metazoa; Chordata; Chondrichthyes; Orectolobiformes; Hemiscylliidae
Exons: 3
Source: RefSeq, a predicted model, not a curated record